GCACUGGAUAGCUCAGUUGGUUAGAGUGCAGUGCUGAUAAUGCUAAGGUUGAAGGUUCGAUCCCUAUAUGGGGCA
Non-coding RNA from Podarcis lilfordi (Lilford's wall lizard), 75 nucleotides. NCBI's taxonomy places the organism in Eukaryota, Metazoa, Chordata, Lepidosauria, Squamata, Lacertidae. The record is from the annotation of a GenBank genome assembly.